Hyaena hyaena (striped hyena) is the source of this 742-nucleotide long non-coding RNA. RefSeq lists it as uncharacterized. The record is from RefSeq and is a predicted model, not a curated record. Lineage: Eukaryota; Metazoa; Chordata; Mammalia; Carnivora; Hyaenidae. The transcript has 3 exons.
CGCGGGGCCCCGGCGGAGGGGCGCUGCCGCCGCAGGGGGCUGGCCUGGCGGAUGCGGCGAGAACGCGCGGCAGUGCUGUUUGCCAGGUUAAUCUAGAAGCUCGUUAUGCUAGUAAGCUGCGUCUGUAUGCACAGAAGACAUCUGAAGGGAAACGACAGAGAUGUGGGGUUGACAGUCUCACAUAAAAGAAUACAAAGUGGGAAGAAUGUGUCUAAGUCCCUAAGGAAUCUUCCAGCCUGAGGGUCCUGCCUCUUCUUGCCCUGGAGGAAGUCCGGGCCCAGCAGAAAGAGCUUCAUUCAGCUUGUUGGAGCCCUGGAGAGAUGGAAAGAGAGGGGGGCCGUGCUCAGGUGCCUGAGGACUCAAACUCGAGCUGAGCACCAUGCAAGGCCAGCAUUAGGGGAUCCUGCCACGAACCACUUUAAAGAGACCAGCUUGACUCCUGCCUUUCACGUACGAUGGUAAGAAAUUCAGGUAAUGGUCACAUUGCUGUGAAAGACUUGCCUCUCUACAGGACACAUUCGGCAUGGUCUAAGUACUGUCUACAGGCGACCCUUCCACGGGCCAGCGUUUUUAAGAAAGAUGAAGUUCAGGGGCACGGGGGUGGCUCGGUCAGUUAAGCGUCUGACUUCAGCUCCGGUCAUGAUCCCGCCAUUUGUGAGUUCAAACCCCACACUGGGCCCGCUGCUGUCUGCACGGAGCCCGCUUCGAUUCUCUGUCACCUCUUUCCCCUCCCCCUCCCCCC